UAACAAUUUUAAAUAAAUAUAGCAAAUAUAUUAUUUUUACUGGAAUAUUUAAUUACCGGUAAUUUAUAAAUUCGUUAUAAAAUCGCCGGAAUAUAUAAUUCCCAAUUUAAUAAUUAUAACCGCUUUUUAAAUCAUAAUAUUUCAAACGCGUUUAUUAUAUAAUCUAUUAUAUAUAUAUAUAUAUAUAUAUAUUUUCGCUCGGAUUUCCGGCGGAAAAUAUCGGUCGUUUUUCUUUUAUAUUACGCUUGAAUAUGUUUAAUAGAAAAGGUUUUUUGCCAAUAUUUUAUUCCAAAACCGGACCAAAUAUAUUUGGGGAAAGAUUUGCGUUCCCGGCGGGAGAACCGCGGCGGUCGAAAAAGGGAUAAUAUUUGCUGGUAUUAAAAUUAUAUAUAAUACGGCCGGACGUAAUACGGUUAUUAUUUAUAAUAUAUUGUAUUUGUUUUAUUAUUUUUAAAUAACGCGUUAAAAAACCCCGCCAAUCGCCCCGGACGGAAACGCAAAUUUUCAUAAAAUUUCGAAAAUAUUUUUGCCCAACGUAUUUAUUUUUCCAACAGAAAUUUAAAUUUGGUAAAAUAUUUUAACGUUUUAUAAUUUUUUAAAGUUAAAGAAAUAGCGAAUAUUAUAAAGUUUCGCGCUUUAUAGUUUAAAUUAUAUUAUUAACGCAAAGAACGUUUUAUUAUUAAUAACACAAUUCUUUGGACGCCGGUUAAUUUGGCUAAAUAAAACGCGAUCGGGUAUUAUAAGCCGCUUAUUCUUUUUGCGAAAAAUAACUUUUUAACGUCGUAAUAAAUUAAUUUAUUACCAAUUUAAUAUUCCUUACGUUAUUUUACUAAAUAAAUAUCGGCGUUUGGAAAGAUAUUUAUUUUAAUAUUUCAAAUGUUUUUUCGAAAUUUGUAUUUACUUAAUUAAACGGGCUUUUUCGUAAACGUUAGUAAUAGGGCCGUUAAUAUUAAACACCCGUUUAUAAAAUUAUAAUAAAAAUUCGCGAACUCGAAAAAACUUUGAAAUUUUUGCAAUAUCGUUGAAAUUUGCCAAUUCCAAAUUAUUAUUUUUUGGGGGUCGGUUUAAUUUUUUCCCCGCUUCAAUAAUAAAUUCCAAAUAUUUAAUUCUUUUGACGCAAACACGUUUUUUCGAAAUUUAAAUCAAAUUUCGUUGCGUCCAAUUUAUUUGAUAUUCGGGUUAUUUUCAACCAAUAGCCGGAUUUAAAUCCCAACAAAUAAAUAAAGGUAUUGUCCAAAUAAAUUAAUAUAUAAUUCUUUUACGUAUUAUUUAAUAUGUAAUUAAUAUAGCGUGGGCAAAUCGCGGGCGGUCCGGCAAAUUCGAAUGAAUAUAUUAACCAUUUAAAUAAUCUGAAAUAAAUUUUGAACAUUAUAAAAAUUUUUUUUUUAUUAUUUGUAAUUUAUAAAAUGCCGCGCGUACGUUUAUUUUAGUAAACUCCCGCGCCCCCGUUACAAAACGUACUAUUUAUUUAAUUAAUGGUAAAAAGUAGUAAUUUUAUAUAAUAUUAUUAUUUAAAACUUUAUGUUUAAUAUAUAAUUUCCAAAUCCCCGGCGUUUUAUAUAUUAUUAAAAGUGGGAUUCUCGCCAAUAAAAAACUGGGUUUAAUUUUUUUUAUGUAUUAUACUUAUUAUCCAAUAUCGCAAUUUUAAUAAUUAUUUCCGUAAUAUAUAAUAAAAGUAGUUUUUUGAAAAAGCCGGAAUUUACCCAGAUUUGGUUUUUUGCAAAUACAUAUAAUAACUAAAAUAAUUCCGGUAUAAUAAUAAUUUAAAGGUUUUGUUUUAUUAAAAUAAAUCCGCUAAUUACACCAAUUCGGGGGGAAAUAUUAUUUAAAGUACCGUUUAUUUAUAUAUAUUUGUUAUUUGCAAAAUAUUUACUAUUUCCCGGAAAAAUAUUAGGGCGAAUUUUAUUUAUUUGUUAUUUUUUUUCACCCACCGAUAUGUGGUUAAAAACACAUAGCUAAUAAUUACCGCAAAUUUGGGUUAAAUAGGGCGAAUAAAUAGUUUAUUUACUAAUAUACCCUUUAUCGCGUUUACAAUUAAUUCUUUCCGUACCGCGUCGAAUAAUAUCCGUUGGUAAAUUACUCAAAUAGUUUUAAUAUUACAUCUCGGGUCAAUCCCGGUAUAAUAUAAAAAAUAUUAAUAUCACCCAUUUAUUAAUAUUUAUUUCGCAUUUAAUUAAGUUUUUAAUUGUCGGUUAGGCGCGUUUUACCGCCGUUUUUACCUGGCGCGCGCGGGGUAAAGCUAUUUUUUCGAAUUUUGACCUGGCCGCCCAUUUAUUAUUUAUUGCCGCGUAAUAUUUGCAAUUUAAUUUUGCUUAUAUAUCAAGAAAUUAUAAAUUGUUUACUAAAUAAAAAUAAAAAACGGCGUUCUGUUUAUAAAGCGUCGAAUUAAAAUAAUUUUAUUAUAUUCGUUUCCUAAUUUCUUACCCGUUUUUAUUCUGGUUGCGUUUUCUAAUUUUCGUUUUCAAUUAAAUUUUAUAUCCAAGUUUUUCUCUCCCGAAAAUCUUCGUUGAAAUUGCGGUUAUUAUUAUAAAAAAACGUAGUACCGCCGCGUACAUAUAAUCCGCUACUUAAUAGUUUCGAUUACCGUAAAGCAAAUAUAUUUUUGUAUCGCGUUUCCGUUAAUAUUUGUCGUUGAAAAUUCAUAGGGUGCGUAAACCGGUAUUUUUUUAUUAAAAUUCGAAAUUUAAAUUUAUCCGGGUUUUUGGCAUUUCUUUUAUUCUGUUUUUUCCAAUUUGGGUUUUAUUGCAAUUACCCCCGUUAUAAAUAUAUUUUCAUUUUUUAUUAAUUUGGAAACCGGGGCGGUACCCGCGCGAUAAAAACCAAAAGGUUUAUUUAAUUUAAUUAUUUUAUAUUUUUAAAUGAUUUGGCGGUUAAUAAUCACCGUUCCUAAAUAAAUAAUCUUUGCAAUAUUUUAUUUAAUAUAUAUUUUCCAAAAUUUGGAAAAUAUAUAAAAACGCAAAAAAUUAAUACGGAUUUCGUCUGUCCGAAGUAAUUUUCCGGCCACGAUUAAACAAACUUCGAAAACCGCAAUAAAUUAGGCGAAUAAUUAACGUGAUUUUAUCCGCAACGUUUUACAUUCGGUUAAAAUUUGUAUCCGUUUAUAAAAAAUAUUAUAUAUA
This 3119-nucleotide small RNA is filed under the name Pyricularia oryzae. RNAcentral describes it as "Magnaporthe oryzae sRNA M_BR32_EuGene_00098691". Lineage: Eukaryota; Fungi; Ascomycota; Sordariomycetes; Magnaporthales; Pyriculariaceae. The record is from RNAcentral.